This 812-nucleotide long non-coding RNA is filed under the name Solanum tuberosum (potato). RNAcentral's name for it is "long non-coding RNA (STUB_LNC006083)". The record is from RNAcentral. Lineage: Eukaryota; Viridiplantae; Streptophyta; Magnoliopsida; Solanales; Solanaceae.
UUACGUAGAAGAAAUGAUCUGUUGUGACGACUUACAAAUUGCAUAUAUAUGAAAAUGAUUUUUAGAGCACUUAGAUGUAGAAAUGAAUUUUUUCAUAAAAAUGGCAUAAAAUUUAGAUUAAGUUUGUAAAAGGUUGCAAAAUCAAAUCUCGAAGAUUUUAUAAAUGUGAUAUGUGAAUAUUCAUCUUUUAAUUCGAUAAAUUCAUCCAUUUUAUGAGGAGUGACCAAGUCAAUUUUAGGAUUCUAUUGUAUCGUGAAGGAUUUGUUCUUUAAGGAAGUUUGCUUUCACAUUGUGAUUGAAUUUGUCCUUUUUAUGAGAAGUGACAAAGUCAAUUUUGAAUUCUAUUGUAUUGUGAAGGGAUUUGUCUAUAUACUCAGUAAUAUUUCUUUUAGGAAGUUUAUUUUCACAUUGCGAAUGAAGUCCUUUUUAUGAGAAUUGGCAAAGUCAAUUUCAGGAUUCUAUUAUAUCGUGAAGAGAUUUGUUUAUAUAGGAAUUAUAUUUCUUUAAGGAAGUUUGUUUUCACAUCGAUAAUGAAUUCAUCUUUUUUAUGAGAAGUGACAAAGCCAAUUUUGAGGAUUCUAUAUAUCGUGAAGAGAUUUGUUUAUAUAGGAACUAUAUUUCUUUAAGAAAGUUUGUUUUCACAUCGAUAAUGAAUUCGUCCUUUUUAUGAGAAGUGACAAAGUCAAUUUAGGAUUUUAUUGUAUUGGGAAAGGAUUUGUCUAUAUAUGAGUAAUAUUUCUUUUAGGAAGUUUAUUUUGACAUCUCCAAUUCUUUCUUAUUACUUUUUUAUUAUUUUAUUUUCUAAUAGGCGG